RNAcentral lists this transfer RNA (86 nucleotides) under Fragilariopsis cylindrus CCMP1102. Its description in RNAcentral is "Selenocysteine transfer RNA". It matches the Rfam family "Selenocysteine transfer RNA". Lineage: Eukaryota; Bacillariophyta; Bacillariophyceae; Bacillariales; Bacillariaceae. The record is from Rfam by way of RNAcentral.
GUGUGCAUGAUCCUGCCUGGUGGUAGGUACAGACUUCAAAUCUGUAGACGGCUAACGCCGUAGUUGUUCGAUUCAACCUUGCGCAC